Molecule: ribosomal RNA, 497 nt
Filed under: uncultured bacterium
Lineage: Bacteria
Description: partial 16S ribosomal RNA
Rfam family: Bacterial small subunit ribosomal RNA
Source: RNAcentral
GAUGAGCGCUGGCGGCGUGCCUAAUACAUGCAAGUCGAGCGAACGGACGAGAAGCUUGCUUCUCUGAUGUUAGCGGCGGACGGGUGAGUAACACGUGGAUAACCUACCUAUAAGACUGGGAUAACUUCGGGAAACCGGAGCUAAUACCGGAUAAUAUUUUGAACCGCAUGGUUCAAAAGUGAAAGACGGUCUUGCUGUCACUUAUAGAUGGAUCCGCGCUGCAUUAGCUAGUUGGUAAGGUAACGGCUUACCAAGGCAACGAUGCAUAGCCGACCUGAGAGGGUGAUCGGCCACACUGGAACUGAGACACGGUCCAGACUCCUACGGGAGGCAGCAGUAGGGAAUCUUCCGCAAUGGGCGAAAGCCUGACGGAGCAACGCCGCGUGAGUUAUGAAGGUCUUCGGAUCGUAAAACUCUGUUAUUAGGGAAGAACAUAUGUGUAAGUAACUGUGCACACCUUGACGGUACCUAAUCAGAAAGCCACGGCUAACUACGUG